AGUCCAUUAAGCCUAGCUUAGCGUUGGGAAUCUACGUGCGGGCGGUGUUACCCUGUAGCACCUACCCUGUAGUUCCUGAAAAUCAACGGCGGGUUCGUGGUAACCUCUGAGCGUAGUAAUUUGUUCUCGCUUCUGAAGUGCCGCGACUCCAGCCGCUAAACCCCUAUUUUCUUGU
RNAcentral lists this unclassified non-coding RNA (175 nucleotides) under uncultured Xylariales. Its description in RNAcentral is "sequence contains ITS2". Lineage: Eukaryota; Fungi; Ascomycota; Sordariomycetes; Xylariales. The record is from RNAcentral.